AAACCAGCACCUCAAGUGGUCAGGAGGAUUAUUGGGCCUAAAGCAUCCGUAGCCGGCUCUGUAAGUUUUCGGAUAAAUCUGUACGCUUAACGUACAGGCUGCUGGGAAUACUGCAGAGCUAGGGAGUGGGAGAGGUAGACGGUACUCGGGAGGAAGUGGUAAAAUGCUUUGAUCUCUCGAUGACCACCUGUGGCGAAGGCGGUCUACCAGAACACGUCCGACGGUGAGGGAUGAAAGCUGGGGGAGCAAACCGGAUUAGAAACCCCAGUAGUCC
This 274-nucleotide ribosomal RNA is filed under the name uncultured bacterium. RNAcentral's name for it is "partial 16S ribosomal RNA". It matches the Rfam family "Archaeal small subunit ribosomal RNA", at positions 473 to 747 of the family's 1478-position model. The record is from RNAcentral.